Molecule: microRNA, 23 nt
Filed under: Callorhinchus milii (elephant shark)
Lineage: Eukaryota; Metazoa; Chordata; Chondrichthyes; Chimaeriformes; Callorhinchidae
Description: eshark_NOVEL_162
Source: RNAcentral
UGAUUUCCAAUAAUUGAGACAGU